Molecule: ribosomal RNA, 497 nt
Filed under: uncultured bacterium
Lineage: Bacteria
Description: partial 16S ribosomal RNA
Rfam family: Bacterial small subunit ribosomal RNA
Source: RNAcentral
GACGAACGCUGGCGGCGUGCCUAAUACAUGCAAGUUGAGCGCUGAAGGUUGGUACUUGUGCCAACUGGAUGAGCAGCGAACGGGUGAGUAACGCGUGGGGAAUCUGCCUUUGAGCGGGGGACAACAUUUGGAAACGAAUGCUAAUACCGCAUAAAAACUUUAAACACAAGUUUCAAGUUUGAAAGAUGCAAUUGCAUCACUCAAAGAUGAUCCCGCGUUGUAUUAGCUAGUUGGUGAGGUAAAGGCUCACCAAGGCGAUGAUACAUAGCCGACCUGAGAGGGUGAUCGGCCAAAUUGGGACUGGGACACGGCCCAAACUCCUACGGGAGGCAGCAGUAGGGAAACUUCGGACAUGGACGAAAGUCUGACCGAGCAACGCCGCGGGAGUGAAGAAGGUUUUCGGAUCGUAAAACUCUGUUGGUAGAGAAGAACGAUGGUGAGAGUGGAAAGCUCAUCAAGUGACGGUAACUACACAGAAAGCGACGGCUAACUACGUG